This 147-nucleotide non-coding RNA is filed under the name chicken gut metagenome. Its description in RNAcentral is "glmS glucosamine-6-phosphate activated ribozyme". It matches the Rfam family "glmS glucosamine-6-phosphate activated ribozyme aptamer". From Rfam's summary of the family: This entry contains a glucosamine-6-phosphate activated ribozyme that is found in the mRNA for GlmS. GlmS is an enzyme that uses fructose-6-phosphate and glutamine to generate glucosamine-6-phosphate. The ribozyme catalyses self cleavage of the glmS mRNA that is thought to regulate GlmS activity. The record is from RNAcentral.
UAUAUAUAGCGCCUGGACACUUAUUUUAAGUGUUGACGAGGUUCAAGGUUAUCGAAAGAUUCGGCGGAUGCCUUGAUGGCUUUAACUUAUGGUCAUAAGUAUUAAUGAAAGAGCAGUAGUAAUGCUGUAACAAAGAUUAAUACAUAU